AGAACCUAUGCCGCCUCCAGCACUCCCCAACCCUGUCUGCUGGCUUCCCAUGGUAGGCUCCAUCACCUGACUGCCUGGGUACAGAGGACUGAAAUGUAAAGCUUUUCCUGAAGCUGUUCACUGUUUGGCCCACAUAGACCUAACUGAUUUGGUCUCCUAUGGAUUUCCUGGUUCUCACUAUGUAACCACAGUGAGCUUCUGCCUCAGCUCGUUAGGCCUAAAGAAGAGCCUGAGACAAGGGCUUGGGAGGUGCCCCCAGGAUAUAGGGGUGAGGGACCAGGAGUGAGGGUAAGACAGGGAGGGAGGAAAAGCCAAUAUGUGCUAUACUUAAUUAGUUCCUGCUCUGGGCAACCGUGGAUCCCCAUGAGGCCCCUUCUGAAUUGUCCUGUAGGAGCCUGGGACAUUUAUCCACUGGUCUUCUCCCUCACUAGCUGACGUUCCACUUUGAAAAUAUUUCUGGCUCAGAUCUGAGUGGGCUUCCCAUACUCUUGAGAAAGCCCUAAGGCAGAGAAGUGGAGAGCCUUAGAGGCACAUGCUUGCAGGAGAACCUGACCACUGCAUCAGCUCUGAAAUCAGAGAUGAUAUGAACACAAAAAUGUCAGCAGAAGCCGUUUUACUCAGCAAGCUGCUUCCUCGCCAGGCUUUGUGCAUGAACUAUGCCACGGACCACAUUGAAGGUCUAGGAUCAUGUUGCCUUUUCAGAGAGGUCUUUCUUGACCUCCUAUUUGAAGGUGCCUACCUGUGGUUACUCCAUCCCAAGCAAUUUCAUUCCUGUGACCCUUUUCUAGCAUCCUAGCUAGUGAUGCUUAAAAUCUACCAGCCCACAUAUGUAUCUAGGUCUUGGGAUAGGUUUAAACAAGACACACACCAGACUUGGGCUGGGGUCAUUAUGUAAAAAGAGGAACCGGGUGCGGUGGCUCAUUCUUGUAAUCCCAGCACUUUGGGAGGCCAAGGUGGGUGGAUCACCUGAGGUCAGGAGUUCAAGACUAGCCUGGCCAACAUGGUGAAACCCUGUCUCUACUAAAAAUCCAAAAAAAAUUAGCCAGAUGUGGUGGCGGGCCCCUGUAAUCCCAGGUACGCCGGAGGCUGAGGCAGGAGAAUUGCUUGAACCUGGGAGGCAGAGGUUGCAGUGAGCCGAGAUUGCACCAUUGCACUCCAGCCUGGGUGACAGAGCGAAACUCCAUCUCAAAAAAAAAAAAAAAAAAGAAAAGAAAAAAGAGGUAUAAGAUGCCAAUGCCAGUCCAGUUAGCAGGUGUAAAAGGAGUGCUAAAGCUUUGGUUGAUUAUCAGAUGUUAGAGUAGAAGACGUCAAGAGGUGAGGGGAGCAAAUCAUGAGACGACCAGACAGCUCAGUGUUAUUUGCAGACAAUGUUGGGCUGAUAGGAAGCUCUCUUGGGAAUGGAAAAGAUGCAUCUUCUGGUCCCGGUUUAGGCCUAUGUAACAGCGCUUCUCUGUAUGGGGUUUUGCUCCCUCAGUGUGGCCAUGGAAGGAUAGGAGAAGUGACCACUUCCUUACACACCUCAAUGAAGAUAUAUGUCCAUCUGCUUGCAGUUUGUUUCCAAACUCUGAAGGCAGCGAGAUUCUCGGACCUGGAAAUAGGCUCUUCUGAGUCUUGCUGCAAAGAAAAAUGGCUUCUGUAGACACUUCGUAUGCAGCUUUCAGUGGCCCCUGGGAUUUGGGAGACUCCAGACUGGAGAACAGCAGGGUAUGCCUUCUGUGGACUAGUUUCCAAGCUGCUAGUGAGAGAGCCUUUUCUCCAUCAGGCCAGCUCAGCAAGACCUACUCGGCUGAAUACAGUGUGAGUCACUCUCCAGACUGUGGUCAGGAGCUGAGGCUGCAGGUUUCCCUUUACAGUGACCUCAUAAUCCCUGUCUCAAUUCCCCCAUGCUGCAGAAAAAAAAAAAUCUCCAUUCUUCAGGAGAAGUCUGCAGAAUGAUGUGCCUGGCUUGUAGGCAGAGAAGACAUUAGGUUGCUUGUCCUUUCAUCCUGUAGGUUUGUUUCUCCUUCAAGCAGAAUUGCAACAUGAAAUGAUCUCUCUUCUCAGCUUUUUUUCUUGCUGCGGUCAGGUUCUGCAGUUUCUGAUGGUGGAAUUUCCAUGAUAGAAGGAAAAUGGGAUUUACUCCUUAUCAUUACUGUAGGCAUCCAGACUGUGUGGGCUGACUUUUUGCACCAUUAACAGUGUAUUGAUUACGCUCAUAGCCAUCUUCACAGCUCCAAGAUAAUGGGGUUCUAAAUGAAAGCGCUCCAUUUUAAUCCUAAUUGUAUUAAGUGGUGCACGUCCUCAAUGAUGUAGUUUUAAAAUUAACUAACCUCUCUGUGUCACAGUUUCCUUCUUUGUAUAAUGGAGAUUAUAAUACUACUUGCCUGAUAUGAUUUUUGUGAGGAUUAAGUGAGUUUUUACAUGAGAAACACUUAUAAAAGUGCUGGCAUAUGCCAGAAACUGUGAUAAGUGUUUGAUGUUAUUAUUUUUAGCAUCAGCAUGCAUUUAAAGAUGGUGAAUCUGAGGAAAAGAAGUCACAUAUCUUUUUAAAAGUGGUAAUCUGUAAGCAAUUUCAUGUUUUUAAUAUUCUUCUAUAGUACGUUUUUGCAGAAGGACUUGCAAUGGUUUAUGGAUUAAAGAGAAAGCAGUGUUCAAUCAUUGGGAAGAAAAAGAGAACAGAGACCAGUGGAAGAAACUAGAACAAAUUAUGCCAUAGACAUAAAUGUGAUGAUUGGAAUAAGUGGCCAAUGAGUUCGUCCUUACUUACCCUGCAGCUAAAGAAGCUGGUUGACACAUAUUUCAUUUCCUGAUUACAGCAUCAAAUACAUUCAUUUUCAGAAAUAAAUUCUUUGGGGGCUUGGUGGGGCAGAUGCCGUAGGAAUCUACCACGUGGUUCCCUUAAGUAUAAAUGACUUUGAAUACAUUUUAUUGUAUCUCCUUGUUUAGCUUUACUAUGAAGAGCUGUUAAAGAUGUGAACCUCUGGAAGAUCAAGGACUUUGCCUUAUGGAAUGCAAAUAACCAAAGUAGAAAUCAUGGUAUAAAUGAAAGACAAAUACAAGUGUUGGCUGCAGAGUGCUAUCUCAUACUUAGCAGGGAUGUACUUAAGUCUUACAUUUGCUUCCUUCCCUCUGUCCUCAAACUCCUCCAUAAAGCACUUGAUCUAUCUGUCUGCUCUUCCUCCUAAAUUAACUGAGAGCAUUUGUAUUAGUUCCACUUGUUAAGCAGCCAGUCAAAUGGUUAUUGAUCAUUUACUUUGUGUGAAGGAUGUCUGUAGAGAGUCAAGGGAGAUACAAUUUACUGGGCACCAAUUAUAUGCCAGACACAGACUGGGACACUUUAUAUACACCACUGCAUUUGUUGCAAUCAUAUGAAAUAGUUAUUAUUAUUUCUGAUUUACAUAUGACAAAAUUUGUAUCUCAGAGACAUUGUGUAAUGUGAGCAAAGUCACAUGGCUACUUUCAUAGCAAAACCAGGACUUCAAACCAUCCAUCAAUUGAUUCAUUCAUUGAUUUUG
Molecule: long non-coding RNA, 3494 nt
Filed under: Homo sapiens (human)
Lineage: Eukaryota; Metazoa; Chordata; Mammalia; Primates; Hominidae
Description: non-protein coding lnc-DEC1-9:1
Source: RNAcentral